GAUUGAAGUAAGCAUGGUAAUGUGCAAACAAAUUGAUUUGGGUUUCUAAGUCUGCCCUCUCUGAUGCCUUUUUGCUUCGAUAGGCAUGGUUCCGCUGCAAAACA
This is a small nucleolar RNA of Rhododendron vialii, 104 nucleotides long. RefSeq annotates it as small nucleolar RNA snoR100. Lineage: Eukaryota; Viridiplantae; Streptophyta; Magnoliopsida; Ericales; Ericaceae. The transcript has a single exon. The record is from RefSeq and is a predicted model, not a curated record.